GGGAUUAGCUAGUUGGUGAGGUAAUGGCUCACCAAGGCGACGAUCCCUAGCUGGUCUGAGAGGAUGAUCAGCCACACUGGGACUGAGACACGGCCCAGACUCCUACGGGAGGCAGCAGUGGGGAAUAUUGCACAAUGGGCGCAAGCCUGAUGCAGCCAUGCCGCGUGUAUGAAGAAGGCCUUCGGGUUGUAAAGUACUUUCAGUCGUGAGGAAGGGUGUGUGCUUAAUACGUACAUAUCUUGACGUUAGCGACAGAAGAAGCACCGGCUAACUCCGUGCCAGCAGCCGCGGUAAUACGGAGGGUGCGAGCGUUAAUCGGAAUUACUGGGCGUAAAGCGCAUGCAGGUGGUUUGUUAAGUCAGAUGUGAAAGCCCGGGGCUCAACCUCGGAAGGUCAUUUGAAACUGGCAAACUAGAGUACUGUAGAGGGGGGUAGAAUUUCAGGUGUAGCGGUGAAAUGCGUAGAGAUCUGAAGGAAUACCGGUGGCGAAGGCGGCCCCCUGGACAGAUACUGACACUCAGAUGCGAAAGCGUGGGUAGCAAACAGGAUUAGAUACCCUGGUAGUCCACGCCGUAAACGAUGUCUACUUGGAGGUUGUUCCCUAGAGGAGUGGCUUUCGGAGCUAACGCGUUAAGUAGACCGCCUGGGGAGUACGGUCGCAAGAUUAAAACUCAAAUGAAUUGACGGGGGCCCGCACAAGCGGUGGAGCAUGUGGUUUAAUUCGAUGCAACGCG
This 734-nucleotide ribosomal RNA is filed under the name uncultured bacterium. RNAcentral describes it as "bacterial SSU rRNA". It matches the Rfam family "Bacterial small subunit ribosomal RNA", at positions 237 to 963 of the family's 1533-position model. The record is from RNAcentral.